GACGAACGCUGGCGGCGUGCUUAACACAUGCAAGUCGAACGGAAAGGCCCUGCUUUUGUGGGGUGCUCGAGUGGCGAACGGGUGAGUAACACGUGAGUAACCUGCCCUUGACUUUGGGAUAACUUCAGGAAACUGGGGCUAAUACCGGAUAGGAGCUCCUGCUGCAUGGUGGGGGUUGGAAAGUUUCGGCGGUUGGGGAUGGACUCGCGGCUUAUCAGCUUGUUGGUGGGGUAGUGGCUUACCAAGGCUUUGACGGGUAGCCGGCCUGAGAGGGUGACCGGCAAAAUGGGGAUUAGGAUACGGCCCAGACGCCUACGGAGGCAGCAGUGGGGAAUAUUGCACAAUGGGCGGAAGCCUGAUGCAGCAACGCCGCGUGCGGGAUGACGGCCUUCGGGUUGUAAACCGCUUUCGCCUGUGACGAAGCGUGAGUGACGGUAAUGGGUAAAGAAGCACCGGCUAACUACGUG
Molecule: ribosomal RNA, 467 nt
Filed under: uncultured bacterium
Lineage: Bacteria
Description: partial 16S ribosomal RNA
Rfam family: Bacterial small subunit ribosomal RNA
Source: RNAcentral